UACGUAGGCAGCGAGCGUUGCUCGGAAUUACUGGGCGUAAAGAGUGUGUAGGCGGUGCUCUAAGUCUGUCGUGAAAUCUCCCGGCUUAACUGGGAGGGUGCGGCGGAAACUGGAGUGCUAGAGGGUGGGAGAGGAAAGCGGAAUUCCUGGUGUAGCGGUGAAAUGCGUAGAUAUCGAGAGGAACACCUGCGGCGAAGGCGGGUUGCUGGGCUGACACUGACGCUGAUGCGCGAAAGCCAGGGGAGCGAACGGG
This 253-nucleotide ribosomal RNA is filed under the name uncultured bacterium. RNAcentral's name for it is "partial 16S ribosomal RNA". It matches the Rfam family "Bacterial small subunit ribosomal RNA", at positions 524 to 776 of the family's 1533-position model. The record is from RNAcentral.